CCGGAAGACCAAGGGUUCCUGUCCAACGUUAAUCGGGGCAGGGUGAGUCGACCCCUAAGGCGAGGCCGAAAGGCGUAGUCGAUGGGAAACGGGUUAAUAUUCCCGUACUUGGUGUUACUGCGAAGGGGGGACGGAGAAGGCUAUGUUGGCCGGGCGACGGUUGUCCCGGUUUAAGCGUGUAGGUGUGUGUUCCAGGUAAAUCCGGUUCACUUUAACACUGAGGCGUGACGACGAGGCACUACGGUGCUGAAGCAACAAAUGCCCUGCUUCCAGGAAAAGCCUCUAAGCAUCAGGUAACACGAAAUCGUACCCCAAACCGACACAGGUGGUCAGGUAGAGAAUACCAAGGCGCUUGAGAGAACUCGGGUGAAGGAACUAGGCAAAAUGGUGCCGUAACUUCGGGAGAAGGCACGCUGACACGUAGGUGAAGUGAUUUACUCAUGGAGCUGAAGUCAGUCGAAGAUACCAGCUGGCUGCAACUGUUUAUUAAAAACACAGCACUGUGCAAACACGAAAGUGGACGUAUACGGUGUGACGCCUGCCCGGUGCCGGAAGGUUAAUUGAUGGGGUCAGCGCAAGCGAAGCUCCUGAUCGAAGCCCCGGUAAACGGCGGCCGUAACUAUAACGGUCCUAAGGUAGCGAAAUUCCUUGUCGGGUAAGUUCCGACCUGCACGAAUGGCGUAAUGAUGGCCAGGCUGUCUCCACCCGAGACUCAGUGAAAUUGAACUCGCUGUGAAGAUGCAGUGUACCCGCGGCAAGACGGAAAGACCCCGUGAACCUUUACUAUAGCUUGACACUGAACAUUGAGCCUUGAUGUGUAGGAUAGGUGGGAGGCUUUGAAGUGUGGACGCCAGUCUGCAUGGAGCCGACCUUGAAAUACCACCCUUUAAUGUUUGAUGUUCUAACGUGGACCCGUAAUCCGGGUUGCGGACAGUGUCUGGUGGGUAGUUUGACUGGGGCGGUCUCCUCCUAAAGAGUAACGGAGGAGCACGAAGGUUGGCUAAUCCUGGUCGGACAUCAGGAGGUUAGUGCAAUGGCAUAAGCCAGCUUGACUGCGAGCGUGACGGCGCGAGCAGGUGCGAAAGCAGGUCAUAGUGAUCCGGUGGUUCUGAAUGGAAGGGCCAUCGCUCAACGGAUAAAAGGUACUCCGGGGAUAACAGGCUGAUACCGCCCAAGAGUUCAUAUCGACGGCGGUGUUUGGCACCUCGAUGUCGGCUCAUCACAUCCUGGGGCUGAAGUAGGUCCCAAGGGUAUGGCUGUUCGCCAUUUAAAGUGGUACGCGAGCUGGGUUUAGAACGUCGUGAGACAGUUCGGUCCCUAUCUGCCGUGGGCGCUGGAGAACUGAGGGGGGCUGCUCCUAGUACGAGAGGACCGGAGUGGACGCAUCACUGGUGUUCGGGUUGUCAUGCCAAUGGCACUGCCCGGUAGCUAAAUGCGGAAGAGAUAAGUGCUGAAAGCAUCUAAGCACGAAACUUGCCCCGAGAUGAGUUCUCCCUGAGACUU
RNAcentral lists this ribosomal RNA (1503 nucleotides) under Salmonella enterica subsp. enterica serovar Typhimurium. RNAcentral's name for it is "bacterial LSU rRNA". It matches the Rfam family "Bacterial large subunit ribosomal RNA", at positions 1337 to 2823 of the family's 2925-position model. Lineage: Bacteria; Pseudomonadati; Pseudomonadota; Gammaproteobacteria; Enterobacterales; Enterobacteriaceae. The record is from RNAcentral.